CAAUAGCGUAUAUUAAAGUUGUUGCAGUUAAAAGCUCGUAGUUGGAUUUCUGGGAGGGUGCCAAUGUCCGUCAACGUGCGUGUGCAGCGGCGCCCUUCCAUCCUUCUGUUAACGCCUCUGGGCAUUUAUUUGCUGGUGGCGGGCUCAGAUAUUUUACCUUGAGAAAAUUAGAGUGUUUCAGGCAGGCUAGGCCGGAAUACAUUAGCAUGGAAUAAUAGAAUAGGACUAUGGGUCUCUUUGUUGGUUUGAGGGACUUAUGGGUAAUGAUUAAUAGGGAUAGUGGGGGCAUUAGUAGUUUAAUUGUCAGAGGUGGAAUUCUCAGAUUUGUUAA
RNAcentral lists this ribosomal RNA (331 nucleotides) under uncultured eukaryote. RNAcentral's name for it is "SSU rRNA". It matches the Rfam family "Eukaryotic small subunit ribosomal RNA", at positions 592 to 932 of the family's 1831-position model. The record is from RNAcentral.